Molecule: long non-coding RNA, 854 nt
Organism: Plectropomus leopardus (leopard coralgrouper)
Lineage: Eukaryota; Metazoa; Chordata; Actinopteri; Perciformes; Serranidae
Source: RefSeq, a predicted model, not a curated record
GGACAGAAACUUGACAUUGAAGUGAUAAAAAACUAAAGAAAAACACUGGAAAAACUCACUUGAAGUUUAUGUUAUGACUUCCUGUGUUAUUUCAUGUUUCAUGUUGACAGUUGACAAUGAAAAAUGACAGUGUGGAUAAGAAAGGAGAGAACGUCGUCCCUUUCGGUGAGUGGUCUGCGGCCUGAGGCUCUCCCUGCUAACCUGCUAUUCAUCGCCCUGGUCAAGGUUUUUUUGGUGAGUUGGAGACCUCUUAAGCUGAGCCAAGACGUUGGAGGGAGAUCUUGGAGCCCACAUUGGGAGAUUCAGAGACUUGAGAGGAUUUCAGAGAUUACAGAGAGAGAUGUUUCCAGUACUGGAUGCUUUCUUCUUGGAAUUUAUGCUGUGUGAUGUUCGUGUCAAAGCCUGGCGUGGGGACUGUGGAGCAUGCUCAGAAUGCCGAGGCCAGUUCUGGUCCAGUUGAGGCGUAUGCAAGAGAGGGUAGCCGGAGAACCUGGAGAGAACCCACGCUGACAUGGGAGAACAUGCAAACUCAAGGUCCGAACCUCGCCCCAACCUGGAUUCAGAUCGCGGACCCUUUUGCUAUGAAGCAUCAGUGCUAACCACCACACCACCUCGGCGCCCAAAAAAGGAUCUCAUAUCGGAUUGGCUGCACCCACAUCGUAUGGGAUUCACCUCACCUGCCACCAAGUCUCUGUAAGCCUGCCAGUUCCAAGAUGGCUCUCUCUCUCUCUCUCUUGUGGAAGGCUCGUGCCUCUCAGGCACCCAACAUGAUUUUAUUUGAUUUGUUUGUUCAGCCCUUUGUUACAUUAUGAUUUAAGUUGGUAUCACACACUUCAUGCAUUCAACACACACAC